GGAGUAAAAGUCGUAACAAGGUUUCCGUAGGUGAACCUGCGGAAGGAUCAUUACAGAGUUCAUGCCCUCACGGGUAGAUCUCCCACCCUUGAAUAUUUAUACCUUAGUUGCUUUGGCAGGCCGUGGAAACACCAUGGGCUCCGGCUUAUGCGUGCCUGCCAGAGGAAACAAACUCUGUUUUUAGUGAUGUCUGAGUACUAUAUAAUAGUUAAAACUUUCAACAACGGAUCUCUUGGUUCUG
This 241-nucleotide unclassified non-coding RNA is filed under the name plant metagenome. RNAcentral describes it as "partial contains small subunit ribosomal RNA, internal transcribed spacer 1, and 5.8S ribosomal RNA". The stretch from base 1 to 53 matches the Rfam family "Eukaryotic small subunit ribosomal RNA", at positions 1779 to 1831 of the family's 1831-position model. The record is from RNAcentral.